GUGUCCUGCGGUGUCGGUCUACCGAAUGCGGUACGACAGGCACGUCUGCGGGGCUUCUCGCCGGUGCGUCCACCGCCGGCGUGUGUCGGUCGGCCUCACGGUCGGCCGCGCACCGAGGCGGGCCGUCGCGGCUGUUUACUUUGAACAAAUUAGAGUGCUCAAAGCGGGCUAACACUUGCCUGAAUAUUGUACGCAUGGAAUAAUAGAAUAGGACCUCGGUUCUGUUUUGUUGGCUUUCUGAUACCAGAGGUAAUGAUUAAUAGGGACGACUGGGGGCAUUCGUAUUGAGACGUUAGAGGUGAAAUUCUUGGAUCGUCGCAAGACGGACUAAAGCGAAAGCAUUUGCCAAAGGUGUUUUCAUUAAUCAAGAACGAAAGUUAGAGGUUCGAAGGCGAUUAGAUACCGCUGUAGUUCUAACCAUAAAUGAUGCCAGCCAGCGAUCCGCCGAAGUUUCAUAAUUUUAACCCGGUGGGCAGCUCCCGGGAAACCAAAGCUUUC
RNAcentral lists this ribosomal RNA (498 nucleotides) under Limnephilus externus. RNAcentral describes it as "SSU rRNA". It matches the Rfam family "Eukaryotic small subunit ribosomal RNA", at positions 727 to 1108 of the family's 1831-position model. Lineage: Eukaryota; Metazoa; Arthropoda; Insecta; Trichoptera; Limnephilidae. The record is from RNAcentral.